UCGACGGGAAACCUUUUAUUGAAGCUUCGGCAGAUUUAGCUGGUUUCUAGCUGUCGGACGGGUGAGUAACGCGUGGGUAACCUGCCCUAUACAGGGGGAUAACAACCAGAAAUGGUUGCUAAUACCGCAUAAGCGCACAGGACCGCAUGGUCCGGUGUGAAAAACUCCGGUGGUAUAGGAUGGACCCGCGUUGGAUUAGCCAGUUGGCAGGGUAACGGCCUACCAAAGCGACGAUCCAUAGCCGGCCUGAGAGGGUGAACGGCCACAUUGGGACUGAGACACGGCCCAGACUCCUACGGGAGGCAGCAGUGGGGAAUAUUGCACAAUGGGGGAAACCCUGAUGCAGCGACGCCGCGUGAAGGAAGAAGUAUCUCGGUAUGUAAACUUCUAUCAGCAGGGAAGAUAGUGACGGUACCUGACUAAGAAGCCCCGGCUAACUACGUGCCAGCAGCCGCGGUAAUACGUAGGGGGCAAGCGUUAUCCGGAUUUACUGGGUGUAAAGGGAGCGUAGACGGAUUAGCAAGUCUGAUGUGAAAGGCAGGGGCUCAACCCCUGGACUGCAUUGGAAACUGCCAGUCUUGAGUGCCGGAGAGGUAAGCGGAAUUCCUAGUGUAGCGGUGAAAUGCGUAGAUAUUAGGAGGAACACCAGUGGCGAAGGCGGCUUACUGGACGGCAACUGACGUUGAGGCUCGAAAGCGUGGGGAGCAAACAGGAUU
RNAcentral lists this ribosomal RNA (716 nucleotides) under uncultured bacterium. RNAcentral's name for it is "bacterial SSU rRNA". It matches the Rfam family "Bacterial small subunit ribosomal RNA", at positions 62 to 779 of the family's 1533-position model. The record is from RNAcentral.